Molecule: ribosomal RNA, 400 nt
Filed under: uncultured bacterium
Lineage: Bacteria
Description: bacterial SSU rRNA
Rfam family: Bacterial small subunit ribosomal RNA
Source: RNAcentral
UGGGGAAUAUUGGACAAUGGGCGCAAGCCUGAUCCAGCCAUGCCGCGUGUGUGAAGAAGGCCCUCGGGUUGUAAAGCACUUUAAGCGAGGAGGAAGGUCAUCAUACUAAUAUUAUGAUGAAUUGACGUUACUCGCAGAAUAAGCACCGGCUAACUCUGUGCCAGCAGCCGCGGUAAUACAGAGGGUGCAAGCGUUAAUCGGAAUUACUGGGCGUAAAGCGCGCGUAGGCGGUUUGUUAAGUCGGAUGUGAAAUCCCUGGGCUCAACCUAGGCACUGCAUCCGAUACUGGCUGACUAGAGUGUGGGAGAGGAAGGUAGAAUUCCAGGUGUAGCGGUGAAAUGCGUAGAGAUCUGGAGGAAUACCGAUGGCGAAGGCAGCCUUCUGGCCUAACACUGACGCU